RNAcentral lists this transfer RNA (67 nucleotides) under Eisenia nordenskioldi. RNAcentral describes it as "tRNA-Ser". The record is from RNAcentral. Lineage: Eukaryota; Metazoa; Annelida; Clitellata; Crassiclitellata; Lumbricidae.
GGCCUGAAGUUUUGGAAACACUGGACCUUGAAUGUCUAUUAGGGGUGUUCAACUCACCCUCAAGCUC